This 661-nucleotide ribosomal RNA is filed under the name uncultured bacterium. Its description in RNAcentral is "bacterial SSU rRNA". It matches the Rfam family "Bacterial small subunit ribosomal RNA", at positions 94 to 788 of the family's 1533-position model. The record is from RNAcentral.
AGUGGCGGACGGGUGAGUAACGCGUGAGAAUCUGCCUUGGGGUCGGGGACAACCACUGGAAACGGUGGCUAAUACCGGAUAAGCCGAUUGGUGAAAGAUUUAUUGCCCGAAGAGGAGCUCGCGUCUGAUUAGCUAGUUGGUGAGGUAAGAGCUCACCAAGGCAGCGAUCAGUAGCUGGUCUGAGAGGACGAUCAGCCACACUGGGACUGAGACACGGCCCAGACUCCUACGGGAGGCAGCAGUGGGGAAUUUUCCGCAAUGGGCGAAAGCCUGACGGAGCAAGACCGCGUGAGGGAGGAAGGCUCUUGGGUUGUAAACCUCUUUUCUCAGGGAAGAAGCUCUGACGGUACCUGAGGAAUCAGCCUCGGCUAACUCCGUGCCAGCAGCCGCGGUAAUACGGAGGAGGCAAGCGUUAUCCGGAAUUAUUGGGCGUAAAGCGUCCGCAGGUGGCGAUUCAAGUCUGCUGUCAAAGCACGGGGCUUAACUCCGUAAAGGCAGUGGAAACUGAAUAGCUAGAGUGCCGUAGGGGUAGAGGGAAUUCCCGGUGUAGCGGUGAAAUGCGUAGAGAUCGGGAAGAACAUCGGUGGCGAAAGCGCUCUACUGGACGGCAACUGACACUCAGGGACGAAAGCUAGGGGAGCGAAUGGGAUUUAGAUACCCC